UNCCACCUCAUGAGGAACACUAGGAGCCAC
This 30-nucleotide non-coding RNA is filed under the name Mus musculus (house mouse). The record is from RNAcentral. Lineage: Eukaryota; Metazoa; Chordata; Mammalia; Rodentia; Muridae.